GACAGAGGGGGCAAGCGUUGCUCGGAAUCACUGGGCGUAAAGGGCGCGUAGGCGGGAUGGCAAGUCAGUCGUGAAACCUCUCGGCUCAACCGAGAAACGUCGGCUGAUACUGCCGUUCUUGAGGGAUGCAGAGGAGACUGGAAUUCCCGGUGUAGCGGUGAAAUGCGUAGAUAUCGAGAGGAACACCUGCGGCGAAGGCGGGUUGCUGGGCUGACACUGACGCUGACAGCGCGAAAGCCAGGGGAGCGAACGGG
This 254-nucleotide ribosomal RNA is filed under the name uncultured bacterium. Its description in RNAcentral is "partial 16S ribosomal RNA". It matches the Rfam family "Bacterial small subunit ribosomal RNA", at positions 524 to 776 of the family's 1533-position model. The record is from RNAcentral.